AGAGUUUGAUUCUGGCUCAGGAUGAACGCUGGCGGCGUGCCUAACACAUGCAAGUCGAACGGAGUUAUGAUGUGAGCGGGAAGUGCUUGCACUAAACAAUCUUUUCAUAACUUAGUGGCGGACGGGUGAGUAACGCGUGGGUAACCUGCCCUGUACUGGGGGACAACAGUUGGAAACGACUGCUAAUACCGCAUAAGCGCACGGGAUCGCAUGAUCCAGUGUGAAAAACUCCGGUGGUACAGGAUGGACCCGCGUCUGAUUAGCUGGUUGGUGAGGUAACGGCCCACCAAGGCAACGAUCAGUAGCCGGCCUGAGAGGGUGAACGGCCACAUUGGGACUGAGACACGGCCCAA
RNAcentral lists this ribosomal RNA (353 nucleotides) under uncultured bacterium. Its description in RNAcentral is "bacterial SSU rRNA". It matches the Rfam family "Bacterial small subunit ribosomal RNA", at positions 8 to 334 of the family's 1533-position model. The record is from RNAcentral.